AUGCUAGGACCGCCGGGGACGGUGGACAUGGAGGCGGAGCCGGAGGCUGCAGCCGCGCUCGUGGCCUUGGGGUUGGAGCCCUCUGCGUCGCAGCUCGAUGUUUUCAAGAGCAGACUUCGUUUAUUGAUUGAUGGAAAUACGAGUGAUUUUGAUACGUGGGUAUCAUUGAUAAGUUCUGCAGAGGAAACUUCUGUUAAUGACAUAAGGGUUAUUAGCUUGGUCUACCAUACCUUCUUAUUGGAAUUUCCUUUGUGCCACGGCUACUGGAUUAAAUACGCAGCUCAUAAAGCGAGGUUAUGCACAUAUGAUGAUGUGGUGGGGGUUUAUGAACAAGCCGUCCAAGCAGUACCUCAUUGUACUGAUCUUUGGGUCAGUUACUGUGGAUUUGCUAUGAGUGCGUAUGAAGACCCUGCCCUUAUUAGAAGCUUAUUUGAGAGGGCUAUGUCUCUUGUUGGAAAGGAUUACUUGUGUUAUCAUCUUUGGGAUAAGUACAUAGAGUUCGAGAAUUCUCAGAAGCAGCUGAUUCAGCUUGCUACCAUUUAUAUCAACGUGUUGAAAUUUCCCACAAAGAAGCUGCACAAGUAUUAUGGGAGUUUUAAGAAGUUGGUAACAUCAUUGGAACAAGAGGUUACACUUUGCGGUGCUGAAAUAUCAUCAGGAAAUUUAUAUACUUCUGAAGCGAUGGAAGCUGAGGAAUCGGAAGGGUAUAUCUCGAGUAAAGUUGCUGGCUUAUUUGACCAAGGCGGGCAUCUUAAACCUGAAGCACUGAAGCAGUACUUAUUUGCUGGGGAGCGUUUCUACCAAAGGUCCAGUGAACUUGACAAAGAAAUCUGUGGCUUUGAGGCAUCCAUCAAAAGGCCUUUUUUUCAUGUCAAGCCACUUGAUGAUGACCAACUUGAAAACUGGAACCUGUAUCUUGACUUUGUUGAGAAGAAUGGCGAUUUUGAUUGGGCUGUAAAACUUUAUGAGAGAUGCUUGAUCCCCUGUGCUAAUUAUUCUGAGUUUUGGAUUCGCUAUGCUGAGUAUGUUGAUGCCAAAGGUGGCAGAGAGAUUGCAAAUUAUGCUCUUGGUCGAGCCUCGUCGUGUUUUGUGAAGGGAGUCCCGUCUUUCAGUAUGUACUAUUCAAUGUUCAAAGAGCAAAUUGGUGAUGCAUCAGGUGCUCGUGCUCUUUUUGUUGAAGGAAGCAGUAAUUCCACUUCAGAUUUCUGCAUGAAUAUUAAUAGACUGGCCAACAUGGAGAAACGCAUGGGAAAUACCAAAGCAGCGACUGAGAUAUAUGAGAAUGCAAUUCAGGAUGCCAUGCAAAAGCAGAACACUGAAGUACUACCGGACCUGUACACUAAUUUUGCGCAAUUCAAAUAUGCGGCAAGUCAUAGCAUUGGUGAAGCUAAAGAAGUCUUUGUCAAGGGAAUAAAACAGGCACCCUGCAAGCCAUUGAUUAAGGGAUUCAUACAGUUCAUGAGUACAUACGGAGGAUCUACAGAAAUACCUCUGCUUGAUUCUGUUAUUGCUAAUGCCGUGAUUCCUGGAUCUGGCGUAUCAACAGCUUUAAGCCCUGAAGACCGUGAAGAUAUCUCGUUGUUGUUUCUAAAGUUCGUUGACCUUUAUGGGAGUGUCCAAGAACUCAGAAAGGCAUGGGCUCGACACAGCAAACUUUUUCCUCACAACACAAGGAACCUGUCACAGCGGUACUGUACUACUGACUGUAACAAGAGGAGAAUAACUGAAUUUCUGAGGGUUGUUCAUGACUGUUCUCCAGAAGGCACGAUCACAUUAAAACAGUCAUCCAAAAGUGAAACUUGUUCUUGGCAAGUUGAUAAAGAAGUCGGUUCGCAAGUGGAUAUGGAUGCUGUCAAUUCAGGAGAAGGACAGGGAUAUGAUGAUGAGCAGAACAUAGGGACUGUUGAUGCGCAACAGGAGGUUGGCGAUACAGCUCACAGCCAACACAGCUUGGACAAGUAUGGAAAUAAAAGCCAAAUGUUUUCACAUGCUAACCAAGAUAUCAGUCGAAGUGAGAAAGCCGCUCAAGCUGAAUCAUGCAAUCAUGAUUCUCCUUCAAAUUCAAUUGCUGAUCCCAAGCAGAUUGAUGCUCAGGACAAGAUUAAGGCCAUUGAGCUAUAUGCAGUUGAUCAUCAUCCAGGAGCAGUAUGCUCAAGAUCUGAACCAUCAUCUGGGACAAGCUUACUCAAAGGAAGUCCGUCCGGUCCAACUCCAAUAUUUUUGGAAUUAGAGAAUAAGCAACUUGAGAAAAUCCAGGUAAAGCUGGAAACAGAGCAUGAUGUGUCUGUCAGUAAUGCAAAGCCAGAGAGCUCUAGUGAUAAUCCAGAAGCAACUCAAUGUGGUACGGAAGUCUCUGCACUCAGUCAAGACCAUAUUCAGUCUUCACAGACACAAGAUUUGUCAGUCGGCGCAAAACCUUCCAGCUCAGAAAUGGCAACAACACAAAUUACCACGUGCUCUCAGUUUUCUCCCGACAAUGCAGUGACUGCUCAAGCUCCCCUUCAGUACAACAUGGAUAAUUCUCAAACGUACCAAUCCAUUAACCUUUUUCUAGCUGGACAAAACAUGCAGCAGAUGCAGCAGCAAGGGCCAGCUUAUGCAAUUUCUCAGAAUGUUCAUACAUCCCCACAUUCUCAAGUUCACCUCGUCCCACAACCGAACCAGGAAAACCAACAGUACAUGGAAAUGAUGCAAGGGUAUGCAUCCCAGAUGUGGCAAUAUUACCAGCAACAGCUGUAUCACCUGCAGACUCAGCAUAAUCAGCAGAUACAGAGUUUGCAACAGCAGCAGCUUCCAACCGAGCAUCUCCAGCAAAGCUUUACGCAACAGGUACAACAACUAAACCAACAAAUGGUACUUUGGCAGCAACAGGUCCAGCAGCAACAACAGCAACAACAACAACAACAACAACAACAACAACAAGUUCAGCAACAGUCUGACAAAACACAGGGGGAUACUAAACGUGAACAAAAUAAACAUCAGCAACAAGAAUCUGGAAUUGAUCAAAGCCAGCAGUUCCAGCAGCAGCAUUUGCUUUAUUUCCAGCAGCAGCAGCAGAUGUACUUUAUACAGCAGCAACAGCAAAUGUACCAACAACAACAACAGCAACAGCAGCAGUUAAUGCAGCAGCAACAGUAUCUCUCGCAGAUGCCGCAGCAGAAACAAGACAUGGAACAACAGCAACAGCAGCAGCUUUAUGAUGAACAACAGAAGCAGAUGGUAGUUCUGCAGCAGCAGCAGCAACAGUUUGCCCAACAACAGAUGCAGCAGUACCUGCAACAGCAAGCCAACCAACAAGUGUUCAAGGAUCAGAAUUGCGAGCUAAAUCACCAGGAUGCAAGGAAGAGGCAGCUGGAGCAUGGUCAACAAUCUGAAGCAUCACAGAGUGAUGGUUCCAAAUUGUGGAGUGGUGAGCAAUCUGAGUUGUCCUACCCAUCAACUCCACAGUCCCAACGUUCCAGUCAUUGA
Molecule: ribosomal RNA, 3468 nt
Filed under: Triticum aestivum (bread wheat)
Lineage: Eukaryota; Viridiplantae; Streptophyta; Magnoliopsida; Poales; Poaceae
Description: partial small subunit ribosomal RNA
Source: RNAcentral